GAUGAACGCUAGCGGCAGGCUUAACACAUGCAAGUCGAGGGGCAGCACGGGUAGCAAUACCUGGUGGCGACCGGCGCAAGGGUGCGUAACGCGUGAGCAACAUGCCCUAUACAGGGGGAUAAUCCAGGGAAACUUGGUCUAAUAUCCCAUAGCAUUUAGAGGAGGCAUCUUCACUAAAUUAAAGCUUCGGUGGUAUAGGAUUGGCUCGCGUGACAUUAGCUAGAUGGUGAGGUAACGGCCCACCAUGGCUAUGAUGUCUAGGGGUUCUGAGAGGAAGACCCCCCACACUGGGACUGAGACACGGCCCAGACUCCUACGGGAGGCAGCAGUGAGGAAUAUUGGACAAUGGAUGGAAAUCUGAUCCAGCCAUGCCGCGUGCAGGAAGACGGCCCUAUGGGUUGUAAACUGCUUUUAUAUGGGAGCAAUAAGGUUUACGAGUAGACCGAUGAGAGUACCAUAUGAAUAGCAUCGGCUAACUCCG
Molecule: ribosomal RNA, 481 nt
Filed under: uncultured bacterium
Lineage: Bacteria
Description: bacterial SSU rRNA
Rfam family: Bacterial small subunit ribosomal RNA
Source: RNAcentral